CGGGGUGUGGCGCAGUUGGUAGCGCGUCCGGCUGGGGGCCGGGAGGUCGCAGGUUCAAGUCCUGUCACCCCGACCA
RNAcentral lists this transfer RNA (76 nucleotides) under Patescibacteria group bacterium. Its description in RNAcentral is "tRNA-Pro". It matches the Rfam family "tRNA". Rfam says of the family: Transfer RNA (tRNA) molecules are approximately 80 nucleotides in length. Their secondary structure includes four short double-helical elements and three loops (D, anti-codon, and T loops). Further hydrogen bonds mediate the characteristic L-shaped molecular structure. tRNAs have two regions of fundamental functional importance: the anti-codon, which is responsible for specific mRNA codon recognition, and the 3' end, to which the tRNAs corresponding amino acid is attached (by aminoacyl-tRNA synthetases). tRNAs cope with the degeneracy of the genetic code in two manners: having more than one tRNA (with a specific anti-codon) for a particular amino acid; and 'wobble' base-pairing, i.e. permitting non-standard base-pairing at the 3rd anti-codon position. The record is from RNAcentral.